This 497-nucleotide ribosomal RNA is filed under the name uncultured bacterium. RNAcentral describes it as "partial 16S ribosomal RNA". It matches the Rfam family "Bacterial small subunit ribosomal RNA", at positions 28 to 507 of the family's 1533-position model. The record is from RNAcentral.
GAUGAACGCUGGCGGCGUGCCUAAUACAUGCAAGUCGAGCGAACAGGCGAGGAGCUUGCGGCGUGCUCGAGAGCGGAAGAGGGGUGAGUAACACGUGUGACACCCACCUAUCAUACUGGUAAAAUCUCGGGAAUCGGGAGAAAACCCGGGAGAAGAUUCUGAACCGCAGUGUUCGAUGGUGAAAGACGGCGUUGCUAUCUGUUAUAGAUGCAUCUGCGCCGUAUGAGCUAGUUGGUCAGGUAAAGGGUUACCAAGGGAACGAUGCGUGACCGACUUGCGAGGGUGAUCGGCCGCACUGGAACUGAGACACGGUCCAUGCGCCUACGGGAGGCAGCAGUAGGGUAUCGGCCGCAAUAGGCGAAAGCCUGACGGAGCGACGCCGCGUGUGUGAUGAAGGUCUUCGGAGCGUAAAACUCUGUUAUUAGGUGAGAACAGACGUGUAAGUAACUGUGCACGUCUUGACGGUAACUAAUCAGAAAGCCACGGCUAACUACGUG